This 279-nucleotide ribosomal RNA is filed under the name uncultured bacterium. RNAcentral describes it as "partial 16S ribosomal RNA". It matches the Rfam family "Bacterial small subunit ribosomal RNA", at positions 506 to 784 of the family's 1533-position model. The record is from RNAcentral.
UGCCAGCAGCCGCGGUAAUACGAAGGGGGCGAGCGUUAUUCGGAAUUAUUGGGCGUAAAGGGCUCGCAGGCUGCUUGAACAGUUAGACGUGAAAUCCCCGGGCUCAACCUGGGAACUGCGUUUAAUACUAGCAAGCUAGAGAAAUAGAGAGGAAAGUGGAAUUCCGAGUGUAGAGGUGAAAUUCGUAGAUAUUCGGAGGAACACCAGUGGCGAAGGCGGCUCACUGGCUCGAUACUGACGCUGAGGUGCGAAAGCGUGGGGAGCAAACAGGAUUAGAUA